GGUCAGCUUACGUGAUGAGAAGGUCAUCUGCUACAACCUAGUUAGGAGGACUUGGACAGUAGUUAACGAACAAAUACCAUAUCACUGUGUCCCUGGAGUUCUGCUGUACAAGACAAAUGAUGCUUUUUCAAGAGGAAGUUGAGACUGUAAUUUCUCCAAUGUGUAACAGAUCUUUGCAUCUACUUAGCAGUUAAGGAGCCUGAAGUGAUUUUAAAAUACUUUGAAGUUUUCAAGAAAGCAUUUAGACUCAUUUCUUUUAUCACUGUUUCGUCUGCUCUAUGGGACACGCAUACUAUGAGAGACUCAAUGGCAAAAGAAAAUUCUGUGGAAUAAGUUUGUGAAUAAAUAAACCUGUGAAAAAAAGAACAAUCUGUUAAACAUAGACCUGAGCCAACAGAUGCAAGAGAAUGGAUUUGUGCUACUGUGGUUGUGACCACACAAUCUCUCUCAAAUGAGCCUCCCAGGGAAGUGGCCAUGAGGUGGGAAACCUUUAUCUAAGCUCUGAUGCAAGGAGAAAAAGAGACAAGUGUCACUGUACUACCUACGCCUACUCUGCUUAACAAAGGAGCCUUCCUAUAACCACAGCACCAAAAGAUAUGUCUCCAGAGAAGCUUCAAUCCUCAAAUUAUGCUUAAGUUAGAAUGCCAUUUUGAAGCUAAAAUAUAAAGAUGACUCAUUACCUGAAUCUGGUACUGGAGACCCUGCAGCAAGUAAUGGACAUCCCAGUUCAUGCCCCAUCGCAUGGGGUGUGGUUAUGAGGAACAUGAGGGAGACCCGAAGAACUAGAUCC
Molecule: long non-coding RNA, 790 nt
Filed under: Homo sapiens (human)
Lineage: Eukaryota; Metazoa; Chordata; Mammalia; Primates; Hominidae
Description: HSALNT0107100
Source: RNAcentral